CAGAAUUUCCAGCUAUUUCUGAAAAUAGAAAAGCAGAGGAACUGAAGCGCAUGCUAUCCCGAGAUCAACUUGCGUGAGUAGAGGGACCGAAAAAAUCAAUCGGCAGAGAAUGGAACAAACUUGCGACAGCCUUUUGCAUGUCUCCUCUUCACAAGUAAAAUGUUGCCAUUCCAGAAGCCUCUCUUAAAGUGCAAAAAUAGAACAAAAAAUAUUUCCAGAAAGCAAGUUUUCUGAAGCCAUACAGAUGCAAACUACAUAUAAUUUAUGUGGAAGCUUCUAUUAAGACAGAAGUGUGCUUUCCAGCUAUUUCUCAACACAAGAAAGUGACCUGAAUGAUUCUGAAGCGAUAUCGGCAUGUUGCAAAAAUUUUGGUUUUGAUCUAUAGUCAUCUUUUUCUGACUAAAGGCGUAUCACUCAUCACCAGAAGAUACUGCUUUCUUGGUUCCACACGUGCUCUGAACUGACAGCAACUAAGCUGGAUGCUAUGAAA
Argiope bruennichi is the source of this 490-nucleotide long non-coding RNA. RefSeq lists it as uncharacterized. NCBI's taxonomy places the organism in Eukaryota, Metazoa, Arthropoda, Arachnida, Araneae, Araneidae. The record is from RefSeq and is a predicted model, not a curated record. The transcript has 3 exons.